CAAUAGCGUAUAUUAAAGUUGUUGCAGUUAAAAAGCUCGUAGUUGGAUUUGUGGCGUACGGUGGGUUCCGGGCACUUGUUGUCUGAGUAACUUGCUGUUGCCAUCCUUGGGUGGAACCUGUGUGGCAUUAGGUUGUCGUGCAGGGGAUGCCCAUCAUUUACUGUGAAAAAAUUAGAGUGUUCAAAGCAGGCUUAUGCCGUUGAAUAUAUUAGCAUGGAAUAAUGAGGUAGGACUUUUUUGCUAUUUUGUUGGUUUGCGCAAAGAGGUAAUGAUUAAUAGGGACAGUUGGGGGUAUUCGUAUUCCAUUGUCAGAGGUGAAAUUCUUGGAUUUUUGGAAGACGAACUACUGCGAAAGCAUUUACCAAGGAUGUUUUCAUUAA
RNAcentral lists this ribosomal RNA (380 nucleotides) under uncultured eukaryote. RNAcentral describes it as "partial 18S ribosomal RNA". It matches the Rfam family "Eukaryotic small subunit ribosomal RNA", at positions 592 to 976 of the family's 1831-position model. The record is from RNAcentral.